GAUGAACGCUGGCGGCGUGCUUAACACAUGCGAGUCGAACGGUGAACACGGAGCUUGCUCUGUGGGAUCAGUGGCGAACGGGUGAGUAACACGUGAGCAACCUGCCCCUGACUCUGGGAUAAGCGCUGGAAACGGCGUCUAAUACUGGAUAUGUGACGUGAUCGCAUGGUCUGCGUCUGGAAAGAAUUUCGGUUGGGGAUGGGCUCGCGGCCUAUCAGCUUGUUGGUGAGGUAAUGGCUCACCAAGGCGUCGACGGGUAGCCGGCCUGAGAGGGUGACCGGCCACACUGGGACUGAGACACGGCCCAGACUCCUACGGGAGGCAGCAGUGGGGAAUAUUGCACAAUGGGCGCAAGCCUGAUGCAGCAACGCCGCGUGAGGGAUGACGGCCUUCGGGUUGUAAACCUCUUUUAGCAGGGAAGAAGCGAAAGUGACGGUACCUGCAGAAAAAGCGCCGGCUAACUACGUG
Molecule: ribosomal RNA, 468 nt
Filed under: uncultured bacterium
Lineage: Bacteria
Description: partial 16S ribosomal RNA
Rfam family: Bacterial small subunit ribosomal RNA
Source: RNAcentral